UUCUAAUUACUUAGGUCACUUCAGGCUUUAAAUCUAUCUUCUAAAUUGUGACACAGCCAUAAUUAGGCCAUAUGUUAAUUAGCAGGAUGACACUGUGUGCCUUGUCACUCGUGAGUGAUGUAGAUCAUCCCAGAAAGUGCCAUAGAAAGAGGAGUUCAGUGAGAAGAGGAAGUCUAAGGGAGGUUGGAAGUGACUCUUUGCUCAGCAAAAACUGCCUUAGCAGGAGAAAAUGGCAAUGUGUAAGAUGGGGAAAGGAUGGGGUCACACAAAGAAAAAGAGCUAGAGUUGACCUCUUUUCCACUCUGGGAAUGAGAUGUAAGCUAGGAGGCAAGCCUGAGGCUGAGACUCCACCAGGGAUGGCAGAAUCUUCUGAAGAAUUGGAGGUGGUGGCCAGGGCAGAGGUCAAGGUCUUGACGGAGGCCAUUGAUGAGGUGAAUGAAAAAGAGACCAAGUGA
Molecule: long non-coding RNA, 455 nt
Organism: Callithrix jacchus (white-tufted-ear marmoset)
Lineage: Eukaryota; Metazoa; Chordata; Mammalia; Primates; Cebidae
Source: Ensembl